GUCUAAAACAUAGUGAAUGCUGAAGAAAAGAGUACAGAAAUAUAAAAACAAUAAUGUCCUGUUAGAUAUAUACAUGUGGCCUACGUAGAUCUGUUAUAUAGAAAGGAGGAAAGUGAUUCAGGUAAAUUGUGCAGUUAAUUCAGAAUAUUAUGAAACUUCAGGGUUUCCCCUGGGUCAAUUAUUUUUUUCGCAACCUCUUUCGCCAAACAAUUUAUUUUUCGCCACUUUAUUAUUUUUUUCGCCAAGUAACAUAACUAUAUUUUUCAUUUAAAAUUUACCUUUUUUUCUUCCCCCCCCCUUUUAAUAAGGUGAUUUUGCCCCAUUGUGUCUAUGAUUAUUCUCUCAAACUUAUUUUAGAGUCUACAUUUAAUGAAUAAACACUAAACAUUUACUUUCUUUUCUUGACCAUCGUAAAUGAAAAAGUUAAGACUUAAACUAUGCUUGAAACACACGUGUCACUCAAACGACUUUAAAGUAGUCUCCCUAAUCAAUUACCUAUAUUAAAGUCAAAGGAUAAUUAAAGUUUUGAAUCAGAGAUUUUUCUUGCUUUUGAAAAUUUUUCGUCACAACAACAGCUUUCUUUAAAAGGAGAGGAGACGUCAGAAGUUUGCUUCAAACACGUGCGUCGCAAAGUCGUAAAUAAAUUCUGUAUGUGACAUUUAGCGGAAGCCAUUUAACCAUAUCAUUUUGUCAAACAAUUCAAUCAACACCUUUAUUAAUUAGUCCUUUGUUGUUGAUAGCUAUAAAAUGCAAUCAGCUGAUUAUUGAUUUUUUUGUCCAAAUCUUAAAGAGGUCAAGGUGAAUUCCGAGUAUUGUCUGAUCGGGUAAAGUCCGAGAAAUUCGAAAAAAGUAAAUAAACAAGAUGGAGGAAAAUAAAUCGUUCUAUAUAUUUGUUUCGUCAAAUUCUUUCGCAAAUGACGAAUUUUUAUCGCCACAAUUAUUAUUUUUUCGCAAAUUGCUAAAAUGGCGACCGCCAGCGGAAACCCUGAACUUUUAAAUUAUAUAAACACAGUCUGCACCAAAAACUUUUUCAACUACUAGUCAGAAGACCAAUAUUCUGACAUUUUUCUUAUUCAACUGGCCCGGUCAAACAAAGUUUUUUAAAAACUUACUAGUCCGAAUGAAAUUUUACUAGUCUGGGGCAUCUGACUAGUGGCUAACCGUGCAGACUGUAAACAGUAUUUAUUUACAUAAAUAAAUAUAUACAUAUAAGCUAUAAUAGGGUUUUCUGUCUAGCAUAAAGCAAUACAUUAUUUCAUAUCCAUGUUGUUGAAAUAUUCAUACACUGUAGCUGUAAACUCAUAGUAGAGAAACUGUAAAUGUGAUGAAUUACUAAAUGUAGUUUAUCAGGCAAUAGACACAAAUCAUAUUAAAUGUGUUGAGUACAUUCACUACAAACUAACAGCUCAGAGUCUGAAAAGUCCAUUUUUUUGCUCAACCAGUAAUGUUGAGUACAGAUUUUAAUUGUCAUGCUUGCCCAAACUUUCAGUGUUUGACCUCUGCGGUCGUAUAAAGUUAAGGUGACUUGUGUUUAAAUGUGUCGAUCUCUCUGAAAUUGUACUGCAAGGUAUCAUAACAGGCAGGAAUUGAGUUUGGGGGUAAUUACUCCAAGGGGGGUUAAAAGAAAAAAAAUUGGGGGGGGGGGGUGUUUUUCUUAAUAAUUUUUGUGUUUUUAUACUGAUAUGGCAGGAGAUACACACCAAACAGGAUGUGUAAAUUAUUAUAUUAAGUAUUGUGCAAUUGCAUAGGACACAAAAUGACUUCAUGCUAUAAUGAAUAUGUCCUAAAAACUUUUCCACUAAUUAGCUUUGUAUGGUACAUGUACCUUUUCUUUUUUAAUUCAUGACAGGGACAUAAAAAUUCAGGGAAAUAUUUAUAUAAACGUGAAACAAACUGAAAUUGAGCUACAUGUAUUUUUUUAUAUUUUCAGUUUGAAGAUCUACCAUUAGUAUUUAUUGAUUCAAGGUCCAGUCAAGUUAUUACUAUCUAUAGGUCAGUGAACAUUACAU
This 2009-nucleotide long non-coding RNA is filed under the name Mytilus galloprovincialis (Mediterranean mussel). Lineage: Eukaryota; Metazoa; Mollusca; Bivalvia; Mytilida; Mytilidae. The record is from RNAcentral.